UAAGGAAUAUUGGUCAAUGGACGCAAGUCUGAACCAGCCAUGCCGCGUGAAGGAUGAAGGUCCUCUGGAUUGUAAACUUCUUUUAUCUGGGACGAAAACGGGAUUUUUAUCUCAAUUGACGGUACCAGAGGAAUAAGCACCGGCUAACUCCGUGCCAGCAGCCGCGGUAAUACGUAGGGUGCGAGCGUUAUCCGGAUUUACUGGGUUUAAAGGGUGCGUAGGUGGGCUUAUAAGUCAGUGGUGAAAUCUCCGAGCUUAACUUGGAAACUGCCGUUGAUACUAUAGGUCUUGAAUUAUCUGGAGGUAAGCGGAAUAUGUCAUGUAGCGGUGAAAUGCUUAGAUAUGACAUAGAACACCAAUUGCGAAGGCAGCUUACUACAUAUAAAUUGACGCUGAGGCACGAAAGCGUGGGGAUCAAACA
Molecule: ribosomal RNA, 421 nt
Filed under: uncultured bacterium
Lineage: Bacteria
Description: bacterial SSU rRNA
Rfam family: Bacterial small subunit ribosomal RNA
Source: RNAcentral